RNAcentral lists this ribosomal RNA (369 nucleotides) under uncultured Glomeromycotina. RNAcentral's name for it is "LSU rRNA". The record is from RNAcentral. Lineage: Eukaryota; Fungi; Glomeromycota.
UUGAAAGGGAAACGAUUGAAGUCAGUCGUGCUGGCGCGAAAUCAACCUUCUCGUCUUGAGAUCACAUGGCGUGGCGAGCCUCAAAACCGUCACGAGGCGUGAACUCUUGGUGAAAUGGAGCACUUUCGUGUCCGCUGGUUAACAUCAAUUUCGAACGUCAUAAAAAGGCUGGAGGGAUGUGGCUCCUUCGGGAGUGUUAUAACCUUUAGCGGAAUGUGGUGUUCGGGAUUGAGGAUUGCAACGAAUACCUUUAGGGCUGUUCCACCUGGCUUCUCUUUGGUAUCCUGGUGACGACAGCUUGCUGACGUCGUUAGGAUUCGCCUUUGAACAGGCUAGAGUGUGAGCAAAUUCGUUAAGGAUGUUGACGUA